GGAAGUGAAAGUGUUAGUGGAGGGUGCGAGGCGUGCCGAAAAUGUGCAUUACAAGAAAAGGCCGCAACGAUUGUGGAAUUGCAGCAGGAAGAUGCUGAAAAUACUGAUAGUGCAAAUAUAGAGGGUCACUCGCAAUCGCAAGAGAACAAGUGAGUGGAUUAUAUCGUUGGACUACGGAGAUAGUGCUCUUCCUCCUUGAUACAUACGCAGAGAGAGAGGAGAAAUUUUCCAGCGGGAAG
Long non-coding RNA from Neodiprion fabricii, 239 nucleotides. RefSeq lists it as uncharacterized. NCBI's taxonomy places the organism in Eukaryota, Metazoa, Arthropoda, Insecta, Hymenoptera, Diprionidae. The transcript is spliced from 4 exons. The record is from RefSeq and is a predicted model, not a curated record.